CAGCAGCUCUUCCUGAAGCAUUGUCAAAAAUUACCCUAGCUGAAAUUGGAUUGUAGUUUGCAGAGAAGAAUUCUCUUAGUUGGGUAGACCUCACUUUCCAUGCAAGAUUAGAAACAUAAAGUUUAUGUCGUGCUUCCCCUUGGGGAGGAGUUGAAGGAGGAGGAGCUCCUGGAGGUUUCUUAAAUCGCUUCGCAAAUUCUACCCUGAUGAUUCUUCCUAAUACUUCCUGUACCACCAAAACAUGGACAAAGAAGGGUGAAGACACAAACAGGAAAAGGGUAAAACAAAAGCAAUAACGCAAAGAAACAUACACAUUAAAUGAAAACCAGAGGUUGCAUUAUGAAAAGAGUAAUCCCUUAAGACAAACAAAAGGGAAAUCUAAGCACUAAUUUCAUGCUUAUGUACUUAGAUUAAGAAGUGAGAUUUCAUCCAGCUCAUUGGCAACUAGGAUGCAUGUAAUCUUUAACAUAAAAAGUGUAUCUCAAUCCUCAGAGACAGAAGUAACCCAUUCAUUGUUCAAUGAAUUAGCUUCUGUUAGUGACUUUUAGAUGUCAGUGAGAUACAAGCUCUUCAUCUUCAAAUCAAAUGAUCCAUGUCACAUUAUGACCCAAAAAAAGUUGAUCUCUGCAUUUGCAUUCCUUUAAGUGUGAUAGCAAGUAUUUUUUAUUUAUUUAUCAGAAUGAAUGUGAUAGCAAGCCUAUUUUCUUUUCUUUUCUUUUCUUUUUUUCAGAAUGAAUGUAAUACCAAAUGUUCUCUACUACUGGAUAAUGUAAAGCAACAUACAUCCAACCAAGCAAGAAUAGAACUAUACCAAGCUACACAGAAAAAAAUAUCAGAUUGCACAGAUCUUUAUAAUUACUUAAAGACCAAUGAAGUACUUUCACUUACACUCUGUUUGGAUCAUUGUUACCCAUUGUUUCAUAAUGUAUUGUAUUGUAUUGUACUCUAUUGUACUGUACUGUAUGGUAGAUACAAUGUUUGGCUUGACUAUAUUGUUUGUUGUUGUUUAAUAACAUUUUAAUGUACUGUAUUGUAAUUUAUAAAUUUACUAAAUUAUCCUUAAUUAUUCUAGGGUAGGAGGUUUGACUAGAAUUAAAUAAUAUAAGGUAAAAGGUAAAAUAGUAUUUUGAAAUAUUAUGUAAAGAUAUAAUUGGAAAAAGAAAUUAAGUAACAAUGGGAACAUACCAAAUCGGUUGCUCCAUAAAAUAGGGUUUUCAUUGUUAUGUAACAACAAAAUUUAACAAUACAAUACAAUACAUUUUAAGUAACAAUCAAAACAAACAUUGUAGGUAUAGUAACGAUACAAUACAAUACAAUGGAUAACAAUGAUCCAAACAGAGUGUAAGCAGCAUUAAACAGGUACAUCAUCAAUCAACCCCUGAAUUAUUGAGAAUGCUCUAUUCAGUAUUUAUCAAUGCUUACCACAAACAUUUCUUAAUGUUUUAACACAAGGCACCUCAUGUUUUUAUAUUGUCCUUUGCUACACAUCUUUGCUUUUCUCUCACUCUCAAACUUAAUUCUUGAAAAAUUUAAACAAUAUCUUCCACUACAAAGACAACCAAUCUCACAGGAAUUUUACUGUUGUAUUGACCUCAAAAAAAUACACAGAUAUUGCUAACUACAAACAAACAUCAAUUAUUUCUUUGUAGCAUAAUAUCAAAUGCUUCAUGUUUUAUCAUGUAACAGGAAAAAUAGCCAAUAAACUUACAUAAGAAUCCAAUUUGUCAAUUGCAGCUUGAGCUUCUUCCCCAGAAGACAUUGUCACAAAGGCAAAUCCUCUACUCUUUCCAUCUUCGGUCUUAAUAAUCUACUAAUUCAACACCCAAAAGGUAAAGACUUAACACCUUUUUUUCAACAACAACCAGAUAAACAUACACAAAUAAAGAAAAAUACCUCAACAUCAUCAACAAUUCCACAUUCAGCAAAGAUGUUCUUGAUAUCAGGAACAGUCAAAGACCAUGGUAAGUUUAGAACAAAAAGCUUUCUUCUUAGAUUAUUCUUCUGGGGUUUCUCUGUUUUCUCUUCUUCUUGUACUGUUACAGGUUCAGUGACUUCAACUGCUGAGCAGUGAAGUUGGGAGCAUUGUUUUCUUGAAAGAAGAGGAAGAAUGGAUUUGAGAGAAAGAUUAAGGGAAUGGUUGGAAUUUUGGAGUUUAAUUGAAUUGGGAAACAAUGGGAAUUUGAGAUAAGAGGAGGAGGAAGGAGGAGGAGAUGAGAAAAUUGAGGAUGCUGCUAAUUCAAUUGCAGCCAUUGUUUGUGUAACA
RNAcentral lists this long non-coding RNA (2263 nucleotides) under Solanum tuberosum (potato). RNAcentral's name for it is "long non-coding RNA (STUB_LNC008497)". Lineage: Eukaryota; Viridiplantae; Streptophyta; Magnoliopsida; Solanales; Solanaceae. The record is from RNAcentral.